RNAcentral lists this ribosomal RNA (275 nucleotides) under uncultured prokaryote. RNAcentral's name for it is "partial 16S ribosomal RNA". It matches the Rfam family "Bacterial small subunit ribosomal RNA", at positions 524 to 800 of the family's 1533-position model. The record is from RNAcentral.
UACGUAGGGGCUAGCGUUAUCCGGAAUUACUGGGCGUAAAGGGUGCGUAGGUGGUUUCUUAAGUCAGAGGUGAAAGGCUACGGCUCAACCGUAGUAAGCCUUUGAAACUGAGAAACUUGAGUGCAGGAGAGGAGAGUAGAAUUCCUAGUGUAGCGGUGAAAUGCGUAGAUAUUAGGAGGAAUACCAGUUGCGAAGGCGGCUCUCUGGACUGUAACUGACACUGAGGCACGAAAGCGUGGGGAGCAAACAGGAUUAGAUACCCGCGUAGUCCCUGA